RNAcentral lists this ribosomal RNA (510 nucleotides) under uncultured Gammaproteobacteria bacterium. RNAcentral's name for it is "bacterial SSU rRNA". It matches the Rfam family "Bacterial small subunit ribosomal RNA", at positions 29 to 526 of the family's 1533-position model. Lineage: Bacteria; Pseudomonadati; Pseudomonadota; Gammaproteobacteria. The record is from RNAcentral.
AGUGAACGCUGGCGGCAGGCCUAACACAUGCAAGUCGAACGGCAGCACAGGGGAGCUUGCUCCCUGGGUGGCGAGUGGCGGACGGGUGAGGAAUACAUCGGAAUCUGCCUAUUUGUGGGGGAUAACGUAGGGAAACUUACGCUAAUACCGCAUACGGCCUACGGGUGAAAGCGGAGGACCUUCGGGCUUCGCGCAGAUAGAUGAGCCGAUGUCGGAUUAGCUAGUUGGCGGGGUAAUGGCCCACCAAGGCGACGAUCCGUAGCUGGUCUGAGAGGAUGAUCAGCCACACUGGAACUGAGACACGGUCCAGACUCCUACGGGAGGCAGCAGUGGGGAAUAUUGGACAAUGGGCGCAGGCCUGAUCCAGCCAUGCCGCGUGGGUGAAGAAGGCCUUCGGGUUGUAAAGCCCUUUUGUUGGGAAAGAAAAGCAGCCGGUUAAUACCCGGUUGUUCUGACGGUACCCAAAGAAUAAGCACCGGCUAACUUGCGUGCCAGCAGCCGCGGUAAUAC